This 200-nucleotide long non-coding RNA is filed under the name Elaeis guineensis (African oil palm). RNAcentral describes it as "long non-coding RNA (EGUI_LNC046246)". Lineage: Eukaryota; Viridiplantae; Streptophyta; Magnoliopsida; Arecales; Arecaceae. The record is from RNAcentral.
CUAUGGAAAAUUUGGAGAUGCCCAAGUGGUAUCAUUUGAUUGUUUUCAAAAAGAUAAAGAUUUUCCUUAAUUUUCUGAUUUGGUGUGAUAAUUUCUUAUAAUAUUUUCUUCUUUUUGUUAAUAUAAAGAUUUCUCAUGGUUAUGCCACUAUAGCUUUAAUUGGUCCUCUUAAUUAUAUUUGUGCCGGUUUUUCUGUAGAA